UACGGAGGGAGCUAGCGUUGUUCGGAAUUACUGGGCGUAAAGGGCUCGUAGGCGGCCAACUAAGUCGGACGUGAAAUCCCCAGGCUCAACCUGGGAACUGCGUCCGAUACUGGAUGGCUUGAAUCCGGGAGAGGGAUGUGGAAUUCCAGGUGUAGCGGUGAAAUGCGUAGAUAUCAAGCGGAACACCGGUGGCGAAGGCGGCCUUCUGGACAGUGACUGACGCUGAGACGCGAAAGCGUGGGGAGCAAACAGG
RNAcentral lists this ribosomal RNA (253 nucleotides) under uncultured bacterium. Its description in RNAcentral is "partial 16S ribosomal RNA". It matches the Rfam family "Bacterial small subunit ribosomal RNA", at positions 524 to 776 of the family's 1533-position model. The record is from RNAcentral.